GACGAACGCUGGCGGCGUGCUUAACACAUGCCAGUCGAACGGAAAGGCCCUGCUUUUGUGGGGUGCUCGAGUGGCGAACGGGUGAGUAACACGUGAGUAACCUGCCCUUGACUUUGGGAUAACUUCAGGAAACUGGGGCUAAUACCGGAUAGGAGCUCCUGCUGCAUGGUGGGGGUUGGAAAGUUUCGGCGGUUGGGGAUGGACUCGCGGCUUAUCAGCUUGUUGGUGGGGUAGUGGCUUACCAAGGCUUUGACGGGUAGCCGGCCUGAGAGGGUGACCGGCCACAUUGGGACUAAGAUACGGCCCAGACUCCUACGGGAGGCAGCAGUGGGGAAUAUUGCACAAUGGGCGGAAGCCUGAUGCAGCAACGCCGCGUGCGGAAUGACGGCCUUCGGGUGGUAAACCGCUUUCGCCUGUGACGAAGCGUGAGUGACGGAAAUGGGUAAAGAAGCACCGGCUAACUACGU
RNAcentral lists this ribosomal RNA (467 nucleotides) under uncultured bacterium. Its description in RNAcentral is "partial 16S ribosomal RNA". It matches the Rfam family "Bacterial small subunit ribosomal RNA", at positions 28 to 506 of the family's 1533-position model. The record is from RNAcentral.